UCUGCACGAAUCUUUUCACACAAACUCCUCUUGUAAACCGAGUCAGGAUGCAGUCGCCCGUACUCGCACUCGUCCUUUGGGCUCUACUGAUUCCGGGAUCUUCUGCCGCUGAUUUCCUGAGGCAGACGGACAGAAUAAAGUCCGUCUCUCUUGGAGGAACGUUGACCAUUGGCGCCACAGGGAGUUCAAACAUUGGGCGCUUUCUCAGUUGGUACCAAGUGAAACCUGGGCAGGCUCCCAAACUGCUCAUCUACCUUGUAUCCAGUCGCGAGUCUGGCACGCCAUCUCGAUUCAGCGGCACACAAUCUGGCUCUGACUACACUCUGACCAUCAGUGGUGUCCAGGCAGAAGACGUGGCUGAUUACUACUGUCUCGGCUAUCACGGCAGUGGAAGGUACACACGGUGAUUCAGAGCCGUACAAAAACCUCUUUCAACUUUGAGCGAAGUGAAAGCGACCUGCAGAAUGUGGCAAGUGGAAAGCAGAAGACACUGAAUGAUGAGCAUGACUGGUCGUCAAGCUAAUGAAUCACUCAAGCUGACUGAAAACAUUAUAUUUAUAUUAUUCUUUCUAGUUACAAUAUUUGUAUUUUUUUAUAUGAAUGAGUGGUUAUUAUUUCUUUUUCUCCGGGACAAAAUAUAUUUAUUUAUUUAGUUACUUUACUUAAAUUAUGUAUUAAUUUUAUUUAACCUACAUAAUAAACUACAUUUAUGUGUCACAAUGAAUGUGUGGUUAUUAUCAUUGAAACAAUUCAUUAAAGUGCAAACUAUAUAGUAUAUCUUUACCUAUGAUGUAAUUAUAUUAUUUGUAAACAUUAAAGUAACCUAAUUUUGAGAGCAAACUGUAUGUAUUUAUUAAUUAAUUUA
Phyllopteryx taeniolatus (common seadragon) is the source of this 865-nucleotide non-coding RNA. NCBI's taxonomy places the organism in Eukaryota, Metazoa, Chordata, Actinopteri, Syngnathiformes, Syngnathidae. The record is from the annotation of a RefSeq genome assembly.